AUUGAACGCUGGCGGCAUGCUUUACACAUGCAAGUCGAACGGCAGCGCGGGCUUCGGCCUGGCGGCGAGUGGCGAACGGGUGAGUAAUGCAUCGGAACGUGCCCAGUAUUGGGGGCUAGCCCGGCGAAAGCCGGAUUAAUCCCGCAUACGACCUGAGGGUGAAAGCGGGGGACCGAAAGGCCUCGCGCUAUUUGAGCGGCCGAUGUCGGAUUAGCUAGUUGGUGGGGUAAAGGCUUACCAAGGCGACGAUCCGUAGCUGGUCUGAGAGGACGACCAGCCACACUGGAACUGAGACACGGCCCAGACUCCUACGGGAGGCAGCAGUGGGGAAUUUUGGACAAUGGGGGCAAGCCUGAUCCAGCCAUGCCGCGUGCGGGAAGAAGGCCUUCGGGUUGUAAACCGCUUUUGUUCGGGAAGAAAUCCUCUGGGCUAAUACCCCGGGGGGAUGACGGUACCGGAAGAAUAAGCACCGGCUAACUACGUG
Molecule: ribosomal RNA, 484 nt
Filed under: uncultured bacterium
Lineage: Bacteria
Description: partial 16S ribosomal RNA
Rfam family: Bacterial small subunit ribosomal RNA
Source: RNAcentral